AGAGUUUGAUCCUGGCUCAGAGUGAACGCUGGCGGCGUGGAUUAGGCAUGCAAGUCGAGCGAACCCGCAAGGGUUAGCGGCAAACGGGUGAGUAACACGUAAGUAAUCUUCCUUAAAGUCAAGCAUAGCAUCGUGAAAACGAUGGUAAUUCUUGAUAUGGCCAUGAUCCGGCAUCGGAAUAUGGUUAAAGACUGGGACCGCAAGGCCAGUCGCUUUAAGAUGAGCUUGCGUCCUAUCAGCUAGUUGGUGGGGUAACGGCCUACCAAGGCUUAUGACGGGUAGCUGGUCUGAGAGGAUGGUCAGCCACACUGGGACUGAGACACUGCCCAGACUCCUACGGGAGGCUGCAGUCGAGAAUCUUUAGCAAUGGACGAAAGUCUGACUAUGCGACGCCGCGUGCGGGAUGAAGGCCUUCGGGUUGUAAACCGCUUUUGUUAGGAAAGAAAAUCCUUUCGUUAAUAGCGAAAGGACUGACGGUACCUAACGAAUAG
Molecule: ribosomal RNA, 491 nt
Filed under: uncultured Victivallis sp.
Lineage: Bacteria; Pseudomonadati; Lentisphaerota; Lentisphaeria; Victivallales; Victivallaceae
Description: bacterial SSU rRNA
Rfam family: Bacterial small subunit ribosomal RNA
Source: RNAcentral